GUCCACGCCCUAAACGAUGUCAACUGGUUGUUGGGAGAUUUAUUCUCUUAGUAACGAAGCUAACGCGUGAAGUUGACCGCCUGGGGAGUACGGUCGCAAGAUUAAAACUCAAAGGAAUUGACGGGGGCCCGCACAAGCGGUGGAUGAUGUGGAUUAAUUCGAUGCAACGCGAAAACCUUACCUACGCUUGACAUGUCUGGAAGAUGAGAGAGAUCUUAUUGUGCUCGAAAGAGAACCAGAACACAGGUGCUGCAUGGCUGUCGU
This 264-nucleotide ribosomal RNA is filed under the name uncultured bacterium. RNAcentral's name for it is "partial 16S ribosomal RNA". It matches the Rfam family "Bacterial small subunit ribosomal RNA", at positions 793 to 1055 of the family's 1533-position model. The record is from RNAcentral.